GGUCUAAUACCGGAUACUGAUCCUCGCAGGCAUCUGCGAGGUUCGAAAGCUCCGGCGGUGCAUGAUGAGCCCGCGGCCUAUCAUCUAGUUGGUGAGGUAACGGCUCACCAAGGCGACGACGGGUAGCCGGCCUGAGAGGGCGACCGGCCACACUGGGACUGAGACACGGCCCAGACUCCUACGGGAGGCAGCGGUGGGGAAUAUUGCACAAUGGGCGAAAGCCUGAUGCAGCGACGCCGCGUGAGGGAUGACGGCCUUCGGGUUGUAAACCUCUUUCAGCAGGGAAGAAGCGAAAGUGACGGUACCUGCAGAAGAAGCGCCGGCGAACUACGUGCCAGCAGCCGCGGUAAUACGUAGGGCGCAAGCGUUGUCCGGAAUUAUUGGGCGUAAAGAGCUCGUAGGCGGCUUGUCACGUCGGUUGUGAAAGCCCGGGGCUUAACCCCGGGUCUGCAGUCGAUACGGGCAGGCUAGAGUUCGGUAUGGGAGAUCGGAAUUCCUGGUGUACCGGUGAAAUGCGCAGAUAUCAGGAGGAACACCGGUGGCGAAGGCGGAUCUCUGGGCCGAUACUGACGCUGAGGAGCGAAAGCGUGGGGAGCGAACACGAUUAGAUACCCUGGUAGUCCACUCCGUAAACGGUGGGCACUAGGUGUGGGCAACAUUCCACGUCGUCCGUGCCGCAGCUCUCACAUUAUAUGCGCCGCCUGGGGAGUACCGCCCCCAGGCUAAACUCAUAGGAAUUGACGGGGGCCCGCACACGCGCCGGAGCAUGUGGCUUUUUUCGACGCAACGCGAAGAACCUUACCGAGGCUUGACAUACACGGGAGAAACAUGGAGACACGUUCCC
RNAcentral lists this ribosomal RNA (844 nucleotides) under Streptomyces sp. mrinalini7F. RNAcentral's name for it is "bacterial SSU rRNA". It matches the Rfam family "Bacterial small subunit ribosomal RNA", at positions 160 to 1015 of the family's 1533-position model. The record is from RNAcentral. Lineage: Bacteria; Bacillati; Actinomycetota; Actinomycetes; Kitasatosporales; Streptomycetaceae.